GAAAGAUUCAUCGGAAGAGGAUGGGCAUGCGGCGCAUUAGCUUGACGGCGGGGUAACGGCCCACCGUGGCGACGAUGCGUAGGGGUUCUGAGAGGAAGGUCCCCCACACUGGUACUGAGACACGGACCAGACUCCUACGGGAGGCAGCAGUGAGGAAUAUUGGUCAAUGGGAGAGAUCCUGAACCAGCCAAGCCGCGUGAGGGAAGACGGCCCUAUGGGUUGUAAACCUCUUUUGUCGGAGAACAAAACCCGGGACGAGUCCCGGACUGCGUGUAUCCGAAGAAAAAGCAUCGGCUAACUCCGUGCCAGCAGCCGCGGUAAUACGGAGGAUGCGAGCGUUAUCCGGAUUUAUUGGGUUUAAAGGGUGCGUAGGCGGUCCGUUAAGUCAGCGGUAAAAUUGCGGGGCUCAACCCCGUCGAGCCGUUGAAACUGGCAGACUUGAGUUGGCGAGAAGUACGCGGAAUGCGCGGUGUAGCGGUGAAAUGCAUAGAUAUCGCGCAGAACUCCGAUUGCGAAGGCAGCGUACCGGCGCCAGACUGACGCUGAGGCACGAAAGCGUGGGGAUCGAACAGGAUUAGAUACCCUGGUAGUCCACGCAGUAAACGAUGAAUGCUGGUUGUCCGGGUCGGAUGAGAUCUGGGCGG
This 644-nucleotide ribosomal RNA is filed under the name uncultured bacterium. RNAcentral's name for it is "bacterial SSU rRNA". It matches the Rfam family "Bacterial small subunit ribosomal RNA", at positions 202 to 846 of the family's 1533-position model. The record is from RNAcentral.